AUACUGUGAACUUGUGCGUUCUCUGUUUUUGUUUUCAAAUAGGGAUACUUUAUUCCUGUAAUUUCCUUAAGGGGAAGAGGAGAUGUGGAGGAGCAGCUCAGAGGAUUCAACACAGCAGAUACGAUACGCCGCUCCAGCAAGUCUGAGGUCCAGCGCGCCACACCAGGGCUGUGGGGGACACUAUGGUGUAGAUGGACACAACACAAUGCCUUUAUUUUUAUGUGGUGCUGAGGAUCGAACCCCGGUCGCGCCCGUGCUAGGCGAGCUCUCUACCGCUGAGCCACAAUCCCAGCCCCUGGUAUAUAUAUUUAAAAAAAAAAAGCAGGAUUAAAAAAAAAAAACAACCUGUGAGCAUUGGAGGUGCUGGUUCCGUGGCUGUGUGAAGGAGUUUGCUCUCUGUCAGGGAUACCUUAAUAAACCUUGAUUUAAAUAAACUCUACUUGGGAAAAACAAGACAUUCACUCAGCAUGCUGGCAUCAAAUGGAACACUUCAGAGUGCAUUUUCUUACAUAUAAAUUGCAU
RNAcentral lists this long non-coding RNA (522 nucleotides) under Ictidomys tridecemlineatus (thirteen-lined ground squirrel). RNAcentral's name for it is "lncRNA (ENSSTOG00000033935.1)". The record is from RNAcentral. Lineage: Eukaryota; Metazoa; Chordata; Mammalia; Rodentia; Sciuridae.